RNAcentral lists this ribosomal RNA (479 nucleotides) under uncultured bacterium. RNAcentral describes it as "bacterial SSU rRNA". It matches the Rfam family "Bacterial small subunit ribosomal RNA", at positions 30 to 490 of the family's 1533-position model. The record is from RNAcentral.
AUUGAACGCUGGCGGCAGGCCUAACACAUGCAAGUCGAACGGUAACAGGAAACAGCUUGCUGUUUCGCUGACGAGUGGCGGACGGGUGAGUAAUGUCUGGGAAACUGCCUGAUGGAGGGGGAUAACUACUGGAAACGGUAGCUAAUACCGCAUAACGUCGCAAGACCAAAGAGGGGGACCCUCGGGCCUCUUGCCAUCGGAUGUGCCCAGAUGGGAUUAGCUUGUUGUGGGGUAACGGCUCACCAAGGCGACGAUCCCUAGCUGGUCUGAGAGGAUGACCAGCCACACUGGAACUGAGACACGGUCCAGACUCCUACGGGAGGCAGCAGUGGGGAAUAUUGCACAAUGGGCGCAAGCCUGAUGCAGCCAUGCCGCGUGUAUGAAGAAGGCCUUCGGGUUGUUAAAGGUACUUUACUAGUACCGGGGAGGAAGGGAGUAAAGUUAAGUACCUUUAGCUCAUUGACGUUACCGCAGAGAAG